RNAcentral lists this transfer RNA (70 nucleotides) under Dipodomys ordii (Ord's kangaroo rat). It matches the Rfam family "tRNA". From Rfam's summary of the family: Transfer RNA (tRNA) molecules are approximately 80 nucleotides in length. Their secondary structure includes four short double-helical elements and three loops (D, anti-codon, and T loops). The record is from Rfam by way of RNAcentral. Lineage: Eukaryota; Metazoa; Chordata; Mammalia; Rodentia; Heteromyidae.
GGGAAUGUAGUUCAGUGGUAGAGUGCUUGCCUUGCAUGCAUGAGGCCCUGGGUUCAAUUCCUCAGCACCA